ACUGCUCAGUAACACGUGGACAACCUGCCCUUAGGUUGGGUAUAAACCCGGGAAACUGGGUAUAAUACCCGAUAGGUCUCGAUUGCUGGAAUGCAUCGAGAUUUAAAGCUCCGGCGCCUAAGGAUGGGUCUGCGGCCUAUCAGGUAGUAGUGGGUGUAGCGUACCUACUAGCCUACGACGGGUACGGGUUGUGAGAGCAAGAGCCCGGAGAUGGAUUCUGAGACACGAAUCCAGGCCCUACGGGGUGCAGCAGGCGCGAAAACUUUACAAUGCUGGCAACAGCGAUAAGGGAACCUCGAGUGCCAGGUUACAAAUCUGGCUGUCGAAAUGCCUAAAAAGCAUUUCAUAGCAAGGGCCGGGCAAGACCGGUGCCAGCCGCCGCGGUAACACCGGCGGCUCGAGUGGUAACCGUUAUUAUUGGGUCUAAAGGGUCUGUAGCCGGCCGGAUAAGUCUCUUGAGAAAUCUGGCAGCUUAACUGUCAGGCUUUCAGGAGAUACUGUCUGGCUCGAGGCCGGGAGAGGUGAGAGGUACUUCAGGGGUAGGGGUGAAAUCUUGUAAUCCUUGAAGGACCACCAGUGGCGAAGGCGUCUCACCAGAACGGACCUGACGGCAAGGGACGAAAGCUAGGGGCACGAACCGGAUUAGAUACCCGGGUAGUCCUAGCCGUAAACGAUACUCGCUAGGUGUCGGCCACGGUGCGACCGUUGUCGGUGCCGUAGGGAAGCCGUGAAGCGAGCCACCUGGGAAGUACGGCCGCAAGGCUGAAACUUAAAGGAAUUGGCGGGGGAGCAC
Molecule: ribosomal RNA, 793 nt
Filed under: uncultured archaeon
Lineage: Archaea
Description: bacterial SSU rRNA
Rfam family: Archaeal small subunit ribosomal RNA
Source: RNAcentral